This 762-nucleotide long non-coding RNA is filed under the name Theobroma cacao (cacao). RNAcentral's name for it is "long non-coding RNA (TCAC_LNC005112)". Lineage: Eukaryota; Viridiplantae; Streptophyta; Magnoliopsida; Malvales; Malvaceae. The record is from RNAcentral.
AUUAGUAUAGAAGCAAAAAACAGGGUGCUUACAGGAUACAGGACUGAGACUGUCCAUGUAUUUUGUCCAAUGAAAGAAGGAAACAAUCAUACAUAAAAACUUGAACAGAAGCAAAUCUCGCCCGACUGAUUUCUUUAUAAGAAUUCGCAAAUGUUUAUUUUUUGUUCAGAAACUAUAAACAAACUGAUAAUGAUUAAGAACAAUUUGCUGUCUCACUGAAAAAAAACAGAAGAUCAUUGGAAGGGAACUUGCUAGCUAGUGUGGUCUAAAGGAGAAGUGGCUUUCAUAUGAGGGGGCGGUCUCAUAUUCAGCCUGCGAGCUGGUGAUGAAUUGCUUCUGAGACACGAGUUGCAUGGAAAUUGGCAAUGAAAGCAGAAGCUUUCUUGUCAAUACCAGGCUCAGCAACCACCCUGAGCGUAUUGUCUUCAUCACUUGGAUACACCUUUCGUGUGCUCCAAACGUCUUCGGCGGCUGAAUAUGAAUGAUCCUCCCUACGAUCCUUCUUAGCUUUGAAGAAACUGAAAAAAGAGAAAGAUUUCUUCUGCUUGUUCCCACCCAUAGCCAUGUAUCUUCUUUUUUGCUCACUCGGAUACACACACUACAAGUUGGGAUGAGUUUUGCACUUGGCACUGCGCUCCUUGAUGUUCAUGCGGAUUCGAGACCCCUUUUAUAAGGGGCUACCCUGUAUUACAAAGGAAUCGAAUAAAAACAAAGACGGGUAUGAUCACGACAAGUGUCCGGCUUUGAUGAAAUGGCUUCCGG